This 450-nucleotide ribosomal RNA is filed under the name uncultured bacterium. Its description in RNAcentral is "partial 16S ribosomal RNA". It matches the Rfam family "Bacterial small subunit ribosomal RNA", at positions 30 to 507 of the family's 1533-position model. The record is from RNAcentral.
GCGAACGCUGGCGGCAUGCCUAACACCUGCAAGUCGCACGGGGGGGCUUCGGCCUCCCAGUGGCGGACGGGUGAGGAACGCGUAGGGACCUGUCGAGGGGUGGGGGAUAACCGCGGGAAACUGCGGCUAAUACCGCAUGACGCCGCGGCGUGACAGCCGGGGCCAAAGGCGAAAGCCGCCCGCCGAGGGGCCUGCGUCCGAUUAGCUGGUUGGCGGGGUAGCGGCCCACCAAGGCGUCGAUCGGUAGCUGGUCUGAGAGGGUGAUCAGCCACACCGGGACUGAGACACGGCCCGGACUCCUACGGGAGGCAGCAGUGGGGAAUAUUGGACAAUGGGCGCAAGCCUGAUCCAGCAAUGCCGCGUGGGUGAAGAAGGUCUUCGGAUUGUAAAGCCCUUUCGGCGGGGACGAUGGUGACGGUACCCGCAGAAGAAGCCCCGGCUAACUUCGUG